UUCUGAGUGUGGGGACACACAUGCUACCCUGGUUGUCAGCAGGUGAGAAGGGGGCUCUGAUCAGCUUCUCACUGGAUUUAGAGAAGAGCAGAUGCCCCUGAUCAGCUUCUCACUGGAUUUAGAGAAGAGCAGAUGUCCCAGACUUGUAGCUGCCAUUGCCUCUCUCUUUCGGAAAAUGAGAGUUGCUAAGAGGCUCCAGAAGCAGAUGAGCAGAGGAGACGAGAUAAGCAGAGGGAUGGCAGAACUGUGUGGCAGAGAAAGAGAGAAGAAGAGGAACAUCUGAACACCGAGAGGACUUCGUCUGGGGGCAGUUGGAGAGAUGGGCUGCUUGACAGCCAAACUCCAGGGGAAGAUCAUCUUCCUGCUCCAUUCUCCCUUCUGGCUCCCCAUCCGUCCUGCUGAGAGCCACCUCCACCAUUCAAUAAAACCCCAUAUUCAUCCUUCAAGCCCAUGUGUGACCCAAUUCUUCUAGGAUGCUGGGCAAGAGCUCAGGAUACAGAAAGAUGUCACACUGGCCCUCUGCCCUUGUGAAAAGGCAGAGGGUCCAUUGAUCUGGUAAACACUUAAGCUGUCUGAGGAUGGCAAGGCUAAAAGCAUUGUAACACAGGGGUUGCAGGCAUCCACCCCUAGACAUGACUGCAGGGCCAGAGGCCAAAGCACCUGCCCCAGCUUCUGCACCUGCCGGUCUGUGUGCUCCCCAUCCUGUCAGGGUAUGAGCAGCAGCAGUGACACAACAGACAAGCCACACCCCUGUCACAUGUCCUGCGAGAGGGAUCAGGGAACUCUCCUGUUUCAAAAUUUUCAUUUCUUUGUCUGGCUGAAUAAUACUCCAUUGUGUGUAGAGGCUACACUGUAUGUCCAUCCAUCUGUUGAUGGACAUUUGGACUGCUUCUGCCUUUCGACUAUUGUGAGUAAUGCUGCAGUGAACACUGCCGUGCAAAUAUCUUUUGGAGUCCCUGCUUUCCAUUCUUUUGGCUAUACUAAGAGU
This 988-nucleotide long non-coding RNA is filed under the name Homo sapiens (human). RNAcentral describes it as "HSALNT0206420". The record is from RNAcentral. Lineage: Eukaryota; Metazoa; Chordata; Mammalia; Primates; Hominidae.